UACGAAUGGGGCGAGCGUUGUUCGGAAUCACUGGGCGUAAAGCGUACGUAGGCGGAUAUGAAAGUCAGAAGUGAAAGCCCUGGGCUCAACCCGGGAACUGCUUUUGAAACUUCAUAUCUAGAGUUCUGGAGAGGUAAGGGGAAUUCCGAGUGUAGAGGUGAAAUUCGCAGAUAUUCGGAGGAACACCAGAGGCGUAGGCGCCUUACUGGACAGAUACUGACGCUGAGGUACGAAAGCGUGGGGAGCAAACAGGAUUAGAUACCCGUGUAGUCC
Molecule: ribosomal RNA, 273 nt
Filed under: uncultured bacterium
Lineage: Bacteria
Description: partial 16S ribosomal RNA
Rfam family: Bacterial small subunit ribosomal RNA
Source: RNAcentral